Gorilla gorilla gorilla (western lowland gorilla) is the source of this 1564-nucleotide long non-coding RNA. RefSeq lists it as uncharacterized. NCBI's taxonomy places the organism in Eukaryota, Metazoa, Chordata, Mammalia, Primates, Hominidae. The record is from RefSeq and is a predicted model, not a curated record. The transcript has 3 exons.
CCAGGUUGCCGUGGGAACUGAUAAAGCCCCAGUGCAGGGAGAAGCCUCUCAGAGGAACCCGUCACCUCUUAAAACCACAAUGAGGUGGAGAGCCAACUAGGGCACACUGAGCGUGGUCACGGGGCGACGAAACCACCACGCACCGUUCCCCAGAAGCACACACUGGGUGCACCGCCACACUGGCUGGAGACCCAGGCUGGAAAGUUCCAGCUGGAGCCAAAGGUCGCAGUCCAGGUGCUGCAUCUUCUUAAAGGAAACACACCCAAAGGCACUAGGACAGAGCCUUGGCUAGCGAUUUAGAUCCAGCCCUAUCUGACGCCGCCAGCAGCACCACGAAGACACUUCCAGGAGCACACCCAGCGGGUCGCCGAGGUGCCGCCCAAGAGGCUCGUUGGCGCCGGGGCCGCCUGACGUCAGUGGGACGGCCCUGGGCUUGGGCGCGCCACAGCCCCGCCCCUCGGGCGCCAGUCUCGGUCGCGGGCAUUGAGCGGCUGGAGUCUGGCGACUGCCCCACGCCCAGCCGUGGGUCGCUAGACGGCGGGCGCACCCGUCGUUCUGGACACGCUUAGUCGGCCCAGCGAGAGGGCGAAGGAGCCGCGGGCGCGUCCCCGCCAACCCUGCUCGCCCGCGCCGCGGCGGGCCACGUGACAGCCCGGGGCCCCGCGCCCCGCCGCGCCGCCUUACUUGGUGUACUCGCGCAGCCCCUUGGCGAACCACACGACGCUGCGGUACAGGGACAUGCCGGGCGCGCCCCACGCCUAGCCCCGCCGCGCUCCCGGCGCGGCCUCCGCCCUGGUCCCGCCCCCCGGGAGUCGCCCGCCCUGACAUCAUCCCGGUUAUGUAAGAGCCGCGGCUUCCGGGUCCUUGCUCCACAGGGAAGGCAAGGGGUCUCGGGGCCGGCCGGUCGACUCCGCCCCAGCCUCAGAGGGUGGAGUGAGGGCGGACCGGCCCUGGUGGGGGCCGCAGUCGAGGUCCGCAGCCUCCUCGGGGUUGAAAUCGGGCAUCAGCGCCGUUUAGAGAACACCGUCCUGCUGGGCAUGGCCGGGAUGCGAAGAUGGCCCUGCAACGCACCUCCUAGAAUUUGGUUACCUAGAAAACCAUGUGGAAUAAAACGACGAGGCUUAUGAUAUUUAAAAGACUUCUGCAUCGAAUUGGUGUUAUCAUAAGGGUUAUUUUAAUAACUGGCAUUCUCUAAGUUUCUACACCUGUUGGGGGAUGCAGUGCCGUGCCACAUUUCCCGUCUCCAGCAAGCGCAGUCAGAUUGGCGACAUCGCAGGCAAGAGGCAGGGCUGGGGCUCCCACCCGAGAAGUAAUUGUCUUCAAAGUCUGGACUUUUGCCACUGGUUCUGCGACUUCAUGCAAUGCCAGGGAGAGCCCCUUGAUUUCCCCCAAAUCCUCAUCAGCCUCCUUCCACCCAAGCCCAGAUGAACAGUACUCAUCUACUCACCUGAGGAUUAUGAGGAUUAUGAGUUUUAUGGAGCAAAAUUUGCCUAGAACAGGUUGUCAGCUUCUGUGGACACAGUCUACCCUCAGGAAUCCCAUUGGAAGAAAGAACAAAUGAAGC